RNAcentral lists this ribosomal RNA (648 nucleotides) under Escherichia coli. Its description in RNAcentral is "partial 23S ribosomal RNA". It matches the Rfam family "Bacterial large subunit ribosomal RNA", at positions 2180 to 2825 of the family's 2925-position model. The record is from RNAcentral. Lineage: Bacteria; Pseudomonadati; Pseudomonadota; Gammaproteobacteria; Enterobacterales; Enterobacteriaceae.
AUGGAGCCGACCUUGAAAUACCACCCUUUAAUGUUUGAUGUUCUAACGUGGACCCGUGAUCCGGGUUGCGGACAGUGUCUGGUGGGUAGUUUGACUGGGGCGGUCUCCUCCUAAAGAGUAACGGAGGAGCACGAAGGUUGGCUAAUCCUGGUCGGACAUCAGGAGGUUAGUGCAAUGGCAUAAGCCAGCUUGACUGCGAGCGUGACGGCGCGAGCAGGUGCGAAAGCAGGUCAUAGUGAUCCGGUGGUUCUGAAUGGAAGGGCCAUCGCUCAACGGAUAAAAGGUACUCCGGGGAUAACAGGCUGAUACCGCCCAAGAGUUCAUAUCGACGGCGGUGUUUGGCACCUCGAUGUCGGCUCAUCACAUCCUGGGGCUGAAGUAGGUCCCAAGGGUAUGGCUGUUCGCCAUUUAAAGUGGUACGCGAGCUGGGUUUAGAACGUCGUGAGACAGUUCGGUCCCUAUCUGCCGUGGGCGCUGGAGAACUGAGGGGGGCUGCUCCUAGUACGAGAGGACCGGAGUGGACGCAUCACUGGUGUUCGGGUUGUCAUGCCAAUGGCACUGCCCGGUAGCUAAAUGCGGAAGAGAUAAGUGCUGAAAGCAUCUAAGCACGAAACUUGCCCCGAGAUGAGUUCUCCCUGACUCCUUGAG